This is a long non-coding RNA of Homo sapiens (human), 584 nucleotides long. The record is from Ensembl. Lineage: Eukaryota; Metazoa; Chordata; Mammalia; Primates; Hominidae.
AAGCUCCCACCUGAGCGGCGCAUCCUCAGGGCCUGGGCCUGGCCUCCUUGCCUGUGAGAUGGCACUGUGACGGUGCCCACCUCGUGGGGUGUGUGAGGGCCGAGUGAAAUCGUGCAUUUGCGGAGAAGAAAGGAAGGAGAGCUGAGUGUGGUGAAAAAAGUGAAGAGUGCUGGCUUUGGAAGCAUGUAUGCUAAAAUUGGAACCACACAGAGAUGACCAUGACCCCUGUGCAAGGAUGCUGUGCAAAUUCAUGAAGCAUUCCGUAUUUUUAUAAGAAAUGCCCAUGACCUUCAUCGCAGCAGCGUAUGUGCGUUGGUCUUCUCCAGGGAUGCCGAAAGUAGACAUACAGGGAGUCGCAGUACGGAUACCACCAGUGCCAGCCUGACCUCACAAGAGACGUCUUGUGUGACUGGCCCUGCCGUCACAGCUGGGCCAGUAAAGUACCUUCCAGGAGGCUCCAGUUGCUACCUGACUCACAACCUUCUAAUCCCAUGAUCUUUUAGUUCUAGUUUCCUUAUCUUGGUCUGAGCAAAUGGCUCAUUUUAAAGAUGACUUGCAGACAAAUGUAGAGAUCAUCCCAGGGG